UUCAGCCGCUGCUACCACCGCCGCCGCUGCCACGGCCCCGUCGCGCGAGCGCGAACCAGCGCGAGGGAACGACGGCGAGAGCGAGAGCGCGCGCCCGGUGGCCACCGCCGCCCACAACCUCGGUCUCCCGCUGACGGCGCAUGCGCGAGGCGGCGCCGGGCGGAGACGCGCACGCCGUAGGGGGCGUGACCGGACCUAGAAGGUGUGGCCACGCCUCAGACCCGCCCACCCACGCGGGCGCUGCAGGUGGUGCAACCGCCUCCAGAUUCCACCCUGGAAGGAGGAAAACAACUCCUAAAAGUUGUCCUCUGACUUCUACAAGUGCACCAUGAUACAUGAAACCCCUCCCCAUGAUAACAAUUUUGUUUCAUGACCUGAUCUUACUAGAAAGGAAGAGGACAUGGCCGUGUUCCAGAAGGGCUUAGCAGGUUCCUGCCCUGCUUGAGUUCCUGCCCUCACUGUUU
Molecule: long non-coding RNA, 464 nt
Organism: Mesocricetus auratus (golden hamster)
Lineage: Eukaryota; Metazoa; Chordata; Mammalia; Rodentia; Cricetidae
Exons: 4
Source: RefSeq, a predicted model, not a curated record